Molecule: ribosomal RNA, 480 nt
Filed under: uncultured bacterium
Lineage: Bacteria
Description: bacterial SSU rRNA
Rfam family: Bacterial small subunit ribosomal RNA
Source: RNAcentral
CGGCCCGCGUUAGAUUAGGUAGUUGGUGGGGUAAUGGCCUACCAAGACUACGAUCUAUAGCUGGGCUGAGAGGAUGAUCAGCCACACUGGGACUGAGACACGGCCCAGACUCCUACGGGAGGCAGCAGUGGGGAAUCUUGCACAAUGGGCGAAAGCCUGAUGCAGCCAUGCCGCGUGAAUGAUGAAGGCCUUAGGGUUGUAAAAUUCUUUCGCUAGGGAUGAUAAUGACAGUACCUAGUAAAGAAGCCCCGGCUAACUUCGUGCCAGCAGCCGCGGUAAUACGAAGGGGGCUAGCGUUGUUCGGAAUUACUGGGCGUAAAGCGCACGUAGGCGGACUUUUAAGUCAGAUGUGAAAUCCCGGGGCUCAACCUCGGAACUGCAUUUGAAACUGGAAGUCUGGAGUUCAGGAGAGGUUAGCGGAAUACCGAGUGUAGAGGUGAAAUUCGUAGAUAUUCGGUGGAACACCAGUGGCGAAGGCGG